GUGAGGGGGAUGAGCGGUGGAGGGCGGACUCCAAGGCGACGAUGCAGCGAAGCAGGGAGGAAAUGGUGGGGCCUGGUUGUUGAGUGUAGUUUUCGUGGAAGUUUUGGGAGGUGUUGAGGUAGAUUUGAGGGGGGCAUAUGUGGGGACCGGAGGCAGCGGGGUAACGGGGUUAGUAGUGGUGGUUGCAAGGGGGAUACAUAUCGGAAUUUUUUUUUUUUUUUUAUUCCACGUAUACUUCCAACAUGGCAAUUGACCAGAACACAUCAAUUAUCGGUUGUCGGAUUAUUUUUGCGGGCCAUAAACAAGAAAAAAAAUGCAACGAUGGGUAUUGUUUUGUAAUUACUCUUAUGGUGGAAUAUUUUUUAGAAAACGCUUAAAUGAUGGGCCAAAAAGUGAU
This 397-nucleotide long non-coding RNA is filed under the name Salvia miltiorrhiza (redroot sage). Its description in RNAcentral is "long non-coding RNA (SMIL_LNC013696)". The record is from RNAcentral. Lineage: Eukaryota; Viridiplantae; Streptophyta; Magnoliopsida; Lamiales; Lamiaceae.